RNAcentral lists this ribosomal RNA (266 nucleotides) under uncultured bacterium. RNAcentral describes it as "partial 16S ribosomal RNA". It matches the Rfam family "Bacterial small subunit ribosomal RNA", at positions 92 to 354 of the family's 1533-position model. The record is from RNAcentral.
CGACCGGCGCACGGGUGAGUAACGCGUAUGCAACCUGCCCGUUUCAGCGGGAUAACCCGGAGAAAUCCGGCCUAAUACCGCAUGUGGCCGAGGGGAGGCAUCUUCUUUCGGCCAAAGGAGGCGACUCCGGAGACGGAUGGGCAUGCGUGACAUUAGCUUGUUGGCGGGGUAACGGCCCACCAAGGCGACGAUGUCUAGGGGUUCUGAGAGGAAGGUCCCCCACACUGGUACUGAGACACGGACCAGACUCCUACGGAAGGCAGCAG